UUGGAUAGAAAUGGAGAACACCGAUUUGUGCUUCCUGGCCAAGGUGAAGGGAAACACUGGGGAAUACUACAAUGUGAAAGUGAUGGUAAUGCAGCACUUGAUGCUGGUGAGAGUAGUAUAAUUUCAGAUAUACUAUCUCUAGACCUGGAUGGAUGGGAUGAGUCGUUAACUUCUCCUCAAAACUUAGCUAAACUUUUGGGCGAUUCAGGAAAACAAACCAGUUCUCUGAAGAUGUCCAAUUCCUGGAAAGCUCAAAGUAACAAGCAGUCUAAGUUCUCUUUUGCUAGGCAGCCGGAGUCUAUGAACCAUGGAAUUGAUGCCGAUAAUUCCUUUAUUGGGUUGGGACAGAUGCCAAGGAAUCAUCCGUUUAAUCAUGAUCUCUUGGAAAGCAGAAAUGCUUAUAUGGACAAUCAUGUACCGAGUAAUGGUUUCUUGACAAGUAUUGUGGAUGAACCAAAUAACUUUCUGGGUGGCAUUCCAUCUUUCCCAUCGAGUAAUGCUCCAGGUGAAUAUUUCCCGAGUUCUGUUUAUUUCAAGUACGUGUCUUGUUUUUAACAUUAGUUUGUGAUGAGCUGCUGUUAUAUGUGUGCUAAUAAUAGCUCCUCAAUUAAUAGGUUCGCGAGCUCAAAUAUCGGCACCCCCAGGGUUUACUGUGCCUAGAGCACCACCACCAGGCUUUUCUUCUCACGAAAGAACGGACCAUACCUUUGAUUCCAUGUUAGGUUAGGCUUCAUUGAGCCUCUUUUGUCACGUUCAUCAGUCAUGUUAUUAUAUCCUGUUUAAUGCUUAUAGUUAAUUGUAUACGAGCUGCAGGAAAUCAGUUGCUGGAGACACCUUCGUUGUACAGAAGCUCAUACCAUGCUCCUCCAAUGACUGGAAGCACGGGAAGCACAGUAGACAUUGAAUUAAUUGAUCCUGCAAUUUUGGCCGUUGGUAAGGGGAGAUUGCAAGGGGGGCUUAGUAGUGGUAACCACCCAGGUUUAGACUUUAGAUCAAAUUUCCAACAACAAUUAGGAAUGUUUGAGAAUGAAGCCAGACUUCAACUACUCAUGCAGAGAUCUCAGCAACAGCAACAGCAACAGCAACAGCAACAACAGAACCUACGGUAUGCUGCUGAACUUGGGGGUAGCUUUUCUACUGCCCCUGAAUCUUACGGCAUUUCUUCAAGGAUAGCUGAUCAGCUGCAAAUGAACAAUAAUCAGUCUGCCUUUGCAAAACUCUCCCACUCACAGUCUAGGAAUGGAGUUGUGUCAAAUGGACAUUGGGAUAAUCAUAAUACUAGUUGGAAUGAAGUUCAGGGUGGGAACAGUAUGGGUAUGGCAGAGCUACUAAGGAACGAGAGACUGGGAGGGUUGAACAAGUUUUACACUGCAGGUUAUGAUGAUUCUAAAUAUCGGAUGCCGAGUUCGGGUGACUUUUACAACAGGACAUUUGAGAUGUGAAUGCGGAUGGAGAUCUUUGAGUUGCUGGCAAUGGCCGAGAUACGGAGGAAGAUGGAUGAUGUUCCUGAUCUGAACUGCUACUUGUACUACUGAACGAUUGGAACUGGACUGGGCUGGACUGGACCAGCUUUAAGCCAUGUGGACAAAGCAAGCAAAGCUCAUGGAGACUUGAGGUUUGAGAAGGGCUCUGAAGGACUGUAGUCUCAGAAGAAGGAAACAGGUGAAUUUACAACCAUUUCCCGCUGCAACUUCAAGGGGAGUGACACCAUUUUUUGUUUCUGGUUUUCCCCACAAAGUUGGUUAUGUAAAAGCUGUGGGAAAAACAACAUUGGUAUAGUUGAAGCGAAGGGUCCAUGGAUGUGCUGUGCUUUAUACCCCCCCUACCUACCUGAGAAAGUCCUAUCUAAUCGUAGAAAAGCUCUAUUCUGCUUUCGAUAUUUGUUAUUAUUGGUCUUUUGCUUGAGAUGAGUAAAAGGAAUUUUGGUUGAUGUAUGCGAUCUAGUCCGUCCCAAAAUUUUAAAUGCAGCAUAUAAAAGAAGCUCCCUCCCGACUUUUGCUACAUAUGCGGCCGCAUUGUGCAUAAUUCCAACAGCUGCUGAAUCAGAAUUCGUGGCAACUUCCCUUGUCCGUUCGCCCAGUCUAUGCUGAAAAGCACCUUGUUUUGGGACUUUGGUUCAUAACCAAGUAAGCAAAUACAUUCUGAAAGAACAGAGCUAGGGUCACACUUUCCAUGAGCACAGCAAUGAUGGUAUAUAUCAUAGUUCGGGUGUGAAACCACAAAAAUCCUUCCACAUCCCACCCGUUUCUUCCUACAUUACUGUUCUCGCUGUUCCCAAAUUGUCAAUCACAAGCAUCAACACAGUUGAAGCAUCACGAGGAACAAACGAGUACCAUAUCCCAACUUCAUUAUUAACAAAAGAACCAUUGUACAAAUGAUGCUCUACUUUCCAUGCCCAUAGGACACCCUGCCUACUGGGAUUCAUCCCCUGAUACAAAAGGAACUGAGGCGAGCCGUUCAGAUUGAUCUUAAACGAGAAAUCGCCAGUUCCGGGAUCAUCUUCUGAUCUCCAAGAGGCCAGUAACACAUUCAAACCUGUUUCAAGAUUAAUGCCAAUUUUCAUACCGGAUAAAAAGGUAUCCGUAGGAUGCUCAAAGCUUUGCUACACAAGUAGUGAUGUAUUGUUACUAGUUGUACCUUGUUGGACCAACACCAGAUUUCCUGAAUCCAAUAGUGGAGCUGAACAGGGAAAAGUUCUGGAAACGUUUGUAGACCAUAUGGCAACCUCUUGAUUUCGGGUGCAGUUGUAAUAGUGAAAGUAAUAUCAAAAUGUGUUUUGACAUAUUAGAUUCCUCUCAUAUCAGAUCCGACUGGUCAACACCCAACAAAACUAGUAACAGACUUAGUUUGGCCAAUAUCACUUCCUCAUUCCGUCGGCGCCAAUUUAACUUGUCUGAUUCUAUCUUCAGUUACUCUCCACCCAAAUUGAGAAUCAAACUCCACUAAAUCCUCCACAAUCCCCUGGACCCUCUACCGAAAUAGAACCCUAACUUUGCUUUCUUGUUAUAUAUGCUCUACAUAACAUAUAUUUCCUAGUAUAACCAAACAAUCGAGUAAAGCUUAUUAAUUCGAAUAACCCAUCCCACUAUAUGGGAUUUUGAUUUCAAUGAUUUCAAAUUAACUUUCACGUAUACGCUGAAAGAACAUGUUUGAUUCUGACAAUCUCAAUAUCGACAACACCACAAUUUUUAUUAAAUGUUGAAGAAAUGGAUGUGUGCAUGGAGCCACUAAACAAAAAUCGAUAAUUAUUUUUCCUCUUAGCAGCUUCCCUCAAGAAGACGAGUCAAUGUUUCAGUUUGGACAAAUAGUAAGCUUACUAUGUGAGAGAUUGUUAAGUGGGGAAAGUGUAAGAAUUUAAUUUGGGAAAAGACUUUCCAUCGGGAGGGAUUAAAUAAAAAAACGGUAUAGUCAAGAGGGUUAAUAUGAAAUAUUUCAAUUGUACGAAGGAAGACGGAGGAUCUUAUCACCGGAGACCAUAUUUGCUUACCUCGGCGACCUAUAGAGAGCUAUUAGGGAGAGAUAAGAAGAUAAAAAAUUCGAGAUCGACAAAAAAAUGAUGGUACGAAGAUGGACCCCACUCAAUAUGUUUCAAGAAUGAACUAUUUUUAUCAUACUCCGGAACCGCAUGGUUAUAGUUGGCCAACGACUCGAUGAUAUGGUAUGCUGGUGUGUCAAACAUUAACAGGCAAUGAACAGAAUUUAUAAGGGAAGGAGAGAAUUGUCAAGUUGGCUAAAGUAAAAGGGAGUAAAAUGAGCAUUUUAUAGUAUAGGGGCUUGUGUGUUAGUUUGCAAAAGUAUAGGGAGCCAAGGGCAUUCUUAUCUAAAAACAAAAUAAUAAUAUUUAAAUCCAAUCAAACAGCUGCCCUUGUUCCUGAAUCCAACUCGGUCUCCUUGCAGCAGUUUCAACCCCAACUCGGCUUUUCGUGCCCAUCUUUCUGAUCUUCUCCUCUAUUUAUAAAAAGCUCAUCUUCGUGUGGUGUUCUUUUCUUCUCUCUCCGCACUGCCUUCAUUCGUUCGUUUGCUUCUGUCUCUCUGUCUCUCUCGCUCGCUCUCUCUCUCUCUCUACUUCGCCCGGGACCUCUAUAUCUCUCUCUCGUUCCAGCCUCAUCGUCAGAGAGAUUUGCUGCUUCCAUCAACCCAACUGUAAGUCUUGUCUGAGCCCUAAUAAUUUCCCCAAUCCUCCUUCUUUUUCCCCGAUCGACGAACUGGAUCCUCAAUUUCCCUUCUGGUUAUCAACUAAGCACCCGCGUUUUCCCCUCUAACUUUGACUUUUCUGCAAUCUAGAAAAUUACGAUUGAAAGCUCUUUCUUGAUUUUAUCUUCUACUUUGUGCCGGUGUUGUUUCUUGUUUCUGGUUUGCCGUAAUUCUAUAUUUUGAUCUAUGAUGUAGCUCGGACGGUCACUGAUUGACGACUGUCGACUUCUUUUGAUGUCCUUUGUAUUGGCUGUUUAGUGGGGGCUGUGGUGUUUAAAGUAAGUUUUGAGUUCCUAGGGUUUCCGAUGUCACGAUUUUUGGGGGAUAGUCACGCAGUUUUGUAUUUUAGUUCUGAGUAAUUAGAUUUGGUAACGGGGUUGAUUUCUCUAGGGUUUUUUUUGCCCCGAGGGAUAGUCUUUUAUGUGAGCUAGGAUUCUAUAUAGUGUGACUAUUAGAACAUGAAUGUAGUUUCCGUGAUGUGCUUUAACUGUCGGUUUCUCUCGAACGGCCACCCAAAGAAGCUGAAAGUACAGAAAUUUGGAGACCGCAGUGUAUAUUACUCAUGUAAAAGAGAUAUUUGAAUCUAGGUAACCUAACUGUUGUAGUCGUUUCUUCUGUGGAACCUUGAUCUAGGUAACCAUGAGCGACCAGGGAGACAAGACCUGCCCACUUUGCGCUGAGGAGAUGGACCUGACUGAUCAGCAAUUGAAGCCUUGCAAAUGUGGUUAUGAGGUUCGACUUGUGUUCUGGCAAUCUAUUCUAUCAACGAAUAUCAGUCCGCUUCUUAGGAUUUCAUUGUUGAAACAUGUCAUAAUAAAAUUCAAAGCAUUAGAAAUAAUAAAAUUCAAAGAUUAGAGAAGUAAUAUGUUUUAGGAAUUAAAAUUUCAUACUUCCUUGUUGCCAGCAAGCAGUUUUAGAAAGCUUGGUAUCUAGGCCACAUUGAUGAAUCAUUGCUUGAAGUUAUCUAUGUAUAUUAAAUUUUCAGUGCUCAUAGGUUUGCUUUUGGAGGGUGAGAUGGAAAAUGUAGCUUUCCGUUUUCAAUAAGUUGCAUGUCUCUAGUUGGGAUAUUUCUUAUAGUGUCAACUUAUGUUUGUAUUCUGUCGGUUUGAAUCUUUUGCUUUCUUCUAAUUACAUGCAAUUUUUGGUCUUAUUAAUAAUUGUUUGCUCCUUAUUGUAGAUAUGUGUUUGGUGUUGGCAUCAUAUAAUGGACAUGGCUGAGAAGGAUGCCUCUGAGGGCCGGUGUCCUGCAUGCCGCACUCCAUAUGACAAGGAGAAGAUAGUAGGGACAGGACCAAAUGAGAGGUUACAUGUUUAUCAUCUGUGCAUUCCAAUGAUGUUAUGAUUGCUUAUUCGUCGCUGAUCUUAAAUUUACCCUUAUAGAUUGGUAUCUGAAAUCAAUGAGCGAAAAAAGUCACAGAAGUCAAAGAUGAAACCCUCAGAGGGGAGGAAACAGCUUAGCAGUGUGCGAGUUAUCCAACGGAAUCUUGUGUAUAUAGUUGGGCUACCGAUGAACUUUGCAGAUGAGGAUGUAAUGUCUUUUAUUAUCUUGGCACAAAUAUUUUGUUACUCAGUUCCCAUUUAUUUUACAACCCAGACUCCUUAGAUCAUAGAAAAGUAGGGUCUGAUAGUCAUUUCUGUCUUUUGGGUAGCUUCUCCAGCGCAGAGAAUAUUUUGGCCAGUAUGGUAAAGUCUUGAAGGUAUCAAUGUCGCGGACAGCAACUGGAGUUGUUCAACAAUUUCCUAAUAAUACAUGUAGUGUGUAAGUUCAUGUACAAAUGCUGUUUCAGUCACAACCUGUAACCUAUCAACUUCCUAUAGUUCUUAUUUGGUUCUACUAUCUGACAAAAGAAACUUUGUAUAUAGAUAUAUUACUUAUGGAAAGGAGGAUGAAGCAAUUCGAUGUAUUCAAUCCGUACAUGGCUUUGUCUUGGAUGGUAGAUCGUUGAAGUAAGAGCUUAUUUGUCAUUCUAAUUUAAGUUUUUUCUCUUUAUGGUAUGCAAUUUUCUAAUACUACAUGUUUUUGUAGGGCGUGUUUUGGAACCACAAAGUAUUGUCAUGCUUGGCUCAGAAAUGUGGUACGAGCUAUAAUUUCAGCAUUCAGGCCGUUUGUCUAUUGCUGAUAUUUUGUUCAGAACUAUAUAAUCUUUAGCACUAGUUUAAUGUGAAUGUAAGUUUUGUUAAACGCAGCCCUGCACCAAUUCCGAUUGUCUAUACUUGCAUGAGGUUGGAUCUCAAGAAGAUAGUUUUACAAAAGAUGAGAUUGUAUCAGCGUAUACAAGGUAUCAUGAAUGUAUUUAUUAGAAGACGUGCUGAUUGCUUUGUUUUAUGGUUGCAUAAUGUAAUGAAUAUGAUUUCUGGUUGGAGGAAUUGGUUGAUUGUACAUAUUAAUUAAUUAGAACGCCAGUUUUGCUUACAGAUACUUCACAUUUGAUUGUGGACGAAACAAUCCUUUAUGCUAUCACAUCCAUGGAAAUUGAAAUUUUACUCCUGUUUCUUUACAUAUUUUCAAAUAAAAAUAUCUUAUUGGUGAUGUUUGACAUGUUAGUUUGUUAUUUCUCUUUAUGUUUCCGGCAUUUGACUACUAUCUUAUCAAUAAAUUAUUUGUGGUUACGAAGGAAUUGGGUACAACAGAUUACUGGUGGCGCCAGUAGUUUGGCCCGCCGUUCUGGGAGUAUGUUGCCGCCUCCAGCACUAGAUUAUUCUUAUGAUACUUCAGCCUCAGCCCUCGUAAAAAAUUCAACAAAUGUAAGAUUGAUACUCGUGUAUAGUGGUUCUCCUGUGUUUAGGAUUAGCAAGUUCUCUGCUAAUGCGGUUUUAAUUUGUUUUGUCCAGCAGAGCACAGUUGGUACUAGUUGCAAAGGCUCACCUCCUAAGGGGAGCUGUAGUAGAUCUGCUGCUCUUCCAGCUGCAGCCUCAUGGUAUGCCAUUAUUUUAACAUCAGUAGUUUCUUUUUGACACGUUUGAUUUUUCCUAAUAUGCCUGGUUUGCAGGGGAAUGCAUGCUUCAAACCAACAGCCGAUUGUAACAUCCUUAGAUGGUCCUUCCAAGACCAAGCCAAUGGCUGAUACAGUUUCCAGCACUGUUCGGGUUCCAGCGGCUGUUACAGUACAGCCACAGUUCAGUCUUCUGCAGCAGUUGGUGAUAUAAAGUCAACUUCGAAUGAAGAUGGUCAACCAAUAAACAGUGAAGGCAGACCUGAUUCCUUAAGACCUAUUAAACACCAUGGCAUAGGAGGUUCAUGUGCAAAGAGUUCUCAGCUAUUAAGUCAUGAACAAGAGGGAGUUUCUAUUGCUGAUGAGAAACCUUCAAGUUUUUGUCCUGCAAUGUCUUCGGAGAGGAGGACAAAUAGUGGUCUCAGAAGUGAGGCAUCUAUCGCAAUGACUAGAACUAGCAGAAUGUUUCCAGAGGAUAGUGCAGCAGUCAAAUCCUCUAGUGGUCAGAAACAUGUAGAUCAGGCUGGGGAGUCUCUAGGUUCUGCAGCCUGUAAGCCUGCUGCCAAUGGUGUAUUUGUUUCAGGAGAAGUUAAAGAUUCUGAAAUGGAUCUGCAGACUAAAGCUAUUUCAAGCAGUGUUUCUGAGCUGGAAGAGGAUUUGUUUCCAUUUGAUAAUCAGAGACUGAAUGAUCCAGAGGUGGUCAGCCGUACAUCGUAUUUGCCAAGUACGAUGACCUCUAUACAGACAGCUGAUGAUUCUUGGUCAAUUCCUUUGCAACAUUGUGAUGGAUUAGAUGUAAAGGGUGAUCCUCUAUUUCUAGAUAGUAGAAAUGGUGAUCGUCUGGUGAGAAAUAUGUCUUGUGAUGCUAUCAUGCGAACUGGAUUCCCUGAGAAAUUGACGAAUAAUAGCUCUACUGUGUUGGAUAGAACUGGACAACACCGAUUUGUGCUUCCUGCCCAAAGUGAAGGAAAACAUUCAGGAAUACUACAAUGUGAAAGUGAUGGUAAUGCUGCUCUAAAUCCUGGAGAGAGUAGUAUAAUUUCAAAUAUACUAUCUCUAGACCUGGAUGGAUGGGAUGAGUCGUUAACUUCUCCUCAAAAUUUGGCUAAACUUUUGGGUGAUACAGGAAAACAAACUAGUUCCCUGAAUAUGUCCAAUUCCUGGAAAGUUCAAAGUAACAAGCAGUCUAAGUUCUCUUUUGCUAGGCAG
This 8336-nucleotide long non-coding RNA is filed under the name Linum usitatissimum (flax). RNAcentral's name for it is "long non-coding RNA (LUSI_LNC007691)". The record is from RNAcentral. Lineage: Eukaryota; Viridiplantae; Streptophyta; Magnoliopsida; Malpighiales; Linaceae.